AUCGCUUCUCGGCCUUUUGGCUAAGAUCGAAUACAGUAUCCGUUCUGGUCAGCUUAAUAAUCUAUGACACACAAACGGGGGGAACCCCAUACGUUAUGGAAACAAGGAAAUUCCACUUAUCACUCGCAGUUCUUCAACUGAGGAAGUACUGCCCUUAAUGACAAUGUUUUUAAUCCUUUUUUCUUAGGUAACUAAAUACUCCCU
RNAcentral lists this small nuclear RNA (204 nucleotides) under Suricata suricatta (meerkat). RNAcentral's name for it is "U2 spliceosomal RNA (ENSSSUG00005019679.1)". It matches the Rfam family "U2 spliceosomal RNA". Rfam says of the family: U2 is a small nuclear RNA (snRNA) component of the spliceosome (involved in pre-mRNA splicing). Complementary binding between U2 snRNA (in an area lying towards the 5' end but 3' to hairpin I) and the branchpoint sequence (BPS) of the intron results the bulging out of an unpaired adenosine, on the BPS, which initiates a nucleophilic attack at the intronic 5' splice site, thus starting the first of two transesterification reactions that mediate splicing. Lineage: Eukaryota; Metazoa; Chordata; Mammalia; Carnivora; Herpestidae. The record is from RNAcentral.